UUCAUUCUAACCUACGUUGUUCGGGAAUCGAGUUUCAUUGAAGAAAAGUUGACGAAAUUCUUGGAUUCGAAAUGAAGUUUCCGAUUCGACAUAGUUUCUUCAGACUAAUACUUUUGAUGGAGGCUUGUUUAUUGAUUAAAGGAGAGGAUUGCAGGAUGGCCAUGGUUUGCGACGGGAAACCUACCUGGAAAGAUGUUAAUAAGAUACGACAGUGCACAAAGGAAGAAAAGGAAGCUUUGGACGCUUUAACAGAACAAGUAGACGAGACCAAAAAUAUGUUCAAUCAAUUAC
This is a non-coding RNA of Styela clava, 291 nucleotides long. The record is from RefSeq and is a predicted model, not a curated record. NCBI's taxonomy places the organism in Eukaryota, Metazoa, Chordata, Ascidiacea, Stolidobranchia, Styelidae.